CCAGAUGUGGUAGAGAGAACUAAUGUUCUUUCUAUUAAACGGAACGCAAGAACCGCUUAGGGAUGAGCUUGCGGCCUAUCAGCUAGUUGGUAAGGUAAUGGCUUACCAAGGCGAUGACGGGUAGCUGGUCUGAGAGGACGACCAGCCACACUCGCACUGAGACACGGGCGAGACUCCUACGGGAGGCAGCAGUGAGGAAUUUUCCGCAAUGGACGAAAGUCUGACGGAGCGACGCCGUGUGAAUGAUGAAGUUUUUCGGAAUGUAAAAUUCUGUCGAGGGGGACGAUAUUGACGGUACCCUUGGAGGAAGCCCCGGCUAACUACGUGCCAGCAGCCGCGGUAAUACGUAGGGGGCGAGCGUUGUCCGGAAUUAUUGGGCGUAAAGGGCGUGUAGGCGGUUUUGUAAGUUGGAUGUUAAAGGUAUGGGCUCAACUCAUACAUUGCGUUCAAUACUGCAUUUCUAGAGAUUG
Molecule: ribosomal RNA, 470 nt
Filed under: uncultured bacterium
Lineage: Bacteria
Description: bacterial SSU rRNA
Rfam family: Bacterial small subunit ribosomal RNA
Source: RNAcentral